CCUACGGGAGGCAGCAGUGGGGGAUAUUGCACAAUGGGGGAAACCCUGAUGCAGCAAAGCAGCGUGAGUGAAGAAGUCUUUCGGUGUGUAAAGCUCUAUCAGUAGGGAAGAGAAUGAUGGUACCUGAAUAAGAAGCCACGGCUAACUACGGGCCAGAAGCCGCGGUAAUACGGAAGGGGCGAGCGUUAUCCGGAUUUACUGGGUGUAAGGGGAGCGUAGACGGCUGGUCAAGUCUGAAGUGAAAGCCCGGGGCUUAACCCCGGAACGGCUGUGGAAACUGGGCAGCUUGAGUGCUGGGGAGGUAAGCGGAAUUCCUAGUGUAGCGGUGAAAUGCUUAGAUAUUAGGAAGAACCCCGGUUGCGAAGGCGGCUUACUGGACAGUAACUGACGUUGAGGCUCGAAAGCGUGGGUAGCGAACAGGAUUAGAUACCCGAGUAGUC
Molecule: ribosomal RNA, 440 nt
Filed under: uncultured bacterium
Lineage: Bacteria
Description: partial 16S ribosomal RNA
Rfam family: Bacterial small subunit ribosomal RNA
Source: RNAcentral